Molecule: ribosomal RNA, 800 nt
Filed under: uncultured bacterium
Lineage: Bacteria
Description: bacterial SSU rRNA
Rfam family: Bacterial small subunit ribosomal RNA
Source: RNAcentral
AGAGUUUGAUCCUGGCUCAGAACGAACGCUGGCAGCGUGGAUUAGGCAUGCAAGUCGAACGAGAUUCUUGGAUAUAGCAAUAUAUUUAGGAUGGAAGUGGCGUAAGGGCGAGGAACGCGUGGGCAAUCUGCCCUUGAGUUUGGGAUAACCCGCCGAAAGGUGGGCUAAUACUGGAUAAGGUUGCUGGUCGCAUGACUGGUGGACUAAAGGUGGGGAUCGCAAGACCUGCCGCUCGAGGAGGAACCCGCGCCCUAUCAGCUUGUUGGUGAGGUAACGGCCCACCAAGGCUAUGACGGGUAGCUGGUCUGAGAGGAUGGUCAGCCGCACUGGGACUGAGACACUGCCCAGACUCCUACGGGAGGCUGCAGUCGAGGAUCUUUUGCAAUGGGCGCAAGCCUGACAAAGCGACGCUGCGUGGAGGAUGAAGGCCUUCGGGUCGUAAACUCCUGUCAUUCGGGAACAAUACCGAGAGGAUUAAUACCCCUUUUGAUUGAUGGUACCGAAGGAGGAAGCCACGGCUAACUCUGUGCCAGCAGCCGCGGUAAUACAGAGGUGGCGAGCGUUGUUCGGAUUUACUGGGCGUAAAGGGUGCGUAGGUGGUUCUGUGUGUCGGAUGUAAAAGCCUGGAGCUUAACUCCAGAACGUCAUUCGAAACUGCAGGGCUAGAGUGCAGGAGAGGAGAGCGGAAUUCUUGGUGUAGCGGUGAAAUGCGUUGAUAUCAAGAAGAACACCGGAUGCGAAGGCGGCUCUCUAGUAUGUUACUGACACUGAGGCACGAAAGCCGGGGGAGCAAACAGGAU